GAUCCCGUAGCUCAGUGGUAGAGCAUCUGACUUUUAAUCCGAGGGCCGUAGGUUCAAGUCCUACCGGGAUCAC
RNAcentral lists this transfer RNA (73 nucleotides) under Chlorobiota bacterium. RNAcentral describes it as "tRNA-Lys". It matches the Rfam family "tRNA". From Rfam's summary of the family: Transfer RNA (tRNA) molecules are approximately 80 nucleotides in length. Their secondary structure includes four short double-helical elements and three loops (D, anti-codon, and T loops). The record is from RNAcentral. Lineage: Bacteria; Pseudomonadati; Chlorobiota.